This 644-nucleotide ribosomal RNA is filed under the name uncultured bacterium. Its description in RNAcentral is "bacterial SSU rRNA". It matches the Rfam family "Bacterial small subunit ribosomal RNA", at positions 143 to 803 of the family's 1533-position model. The record is from RNAcentral.
ACAACAGUUGGAAACGACUGCUAAUACCGCAUAAGCCCACGGCUCGGCAUCGAGCAGAGGGAAAAGGAGCAAUCCGCUUUGAGAUGGCCUCGCGUCCGAUUAGCUAGUUGGUGAGGUAACGGCCCACCAAGGCAACGAUCGGUAGCCGGACUGAGAGGUUGAACGGCCACAUUGGGACUGAGACACGGCCCAGACUCCUACGGGAGGCAGCAGUGGGGAAUACUGCACAAUGGGGGAAACCCUGAUGCAGCGACGCCGCGUGGAGGAAGAAGGUCUUCGGAUUGUAAACUCCUGUUGUUGAGGAAGAUAAUGACGGUACUCAACAAGGAAGUGACGGCUAACUACGUGCCAGCAGCCGCGGUAAAACGUAGGUCACAAGCGUUGUCCGGAAUUACUGGGUGUAAAGGGAGCGCAGGCGGGAAGACAAGUUGGAAGUGAAAUCCAUGGGCUCAACCCAUGAACUGCUUUCAAAACUGUUUUUCUUGAGUAGUGCAGAGGUAGGCGGAAUUCCCGGUGUAGCGGUGGAAUGCGUAGAUAUCGGGAGGAACACCAGUGGCGAAGGCGGCCUACUGGGCACCAACUGACGCUGAGGCUCGAAAGUGUGGGUAGCAAACAGGAUUAGAUACCCUGGUAGUCCACACUGU